Molecule: ribosomal RNA, 253 nt
Filed under: uncultured bacterium
Lineage: Bacteria
Description: partial 16S ribosomal RNA
Rfam family: Bacterial small subunit ribosomal RNA
Source: RNAcentral
UACGUAGGGUGCAAGCGUUGUCCGGAUUUAUUGGGCGUAAAGAGCUCGUAGGCGGUCUGUCGCGUCGGAUGUGAAAACCCAGGGCUCAACCCUGGGCCUGCAUUCGAUACGGGCAGACUAGAGUGUGGCAGGGGAGACUGGAAUUCCUGGUGUAGCGGUGAAAUGCGCAGAUAUCAGGAGGAACACCGGUGGCGAAGGCGGGUCUCUGGGCCAAUACUGACGCUGAGGCACGAAGGCGUGGGGAGCGAACGGG